Molecule: ribosomal RNA, 897 nt
Filed under: uncultured archaeon
Lineage: Archaea
Description: bacterial SSU rRNA
Rfam family: Archaeal small subunit ribosomal RNA
Source: RNAcentral
UAUGCCUAAAAAGCAUUAUAUAGCAAGGGCCGGGCAAGACCGGUGCCAGCCGCCGCGGUAACACCGGCGGCUCGAGUGGUGACCGCUAUUAUUGGGUUUAAAGGGUCUGUAGCCGGCCGGAUAAGUCUCUUGGGAAAUCUGGCCGCUUAACGGUCAGGCUUUCAGGAGAUACUGUCUGGCUCGAGGCCGGGAGAGGUGAGAGGUACUUCAGGGGUAGGGGUGAAAUCUUGUAAUCCUUGAAGGACCACCAGUGGCGAAGGCGUCUCACCAAAACGGACCUGACGGCAAGGGACGAAAGCUAGGGGCACGAACCGGAUUAGAUACCCGGGUAGUCCUAGCCGUAAACGAUACUCGCUAGGUGUCGGCCGCGGUGCGACCGUGGUCGGUGCCGUAGGGAAACCGUGAAGCGAGCCACCUGGGAAGUACGGCCGCAAGGCUGAAACUUAAAGGAAUUGGCGGGGGAGCACCACAACGGGUGGAGCUUGCGGUUUAAUUGGAUUCAACGCCGGAAAGCUUACCGGGAUCGACAGCAAUAUGAAGGCCAGGUUGAAGACUUUGCUGGAUUAGCUGAGAGGUGGUGCAUGGCCGUCGUCAGUUCGUACUGUGAAGCAUCCUGUUAAGUCAGGCAACGAGCGAGACCCACGCCCACAGUUGCCAGCGUUCCCUCCGGGGAGAUGGGUACACUGUGGGGACCGCCGCUGCUAAAGCGGAGGAAGGAAUGGGCAACGGUAGGUCAGUAUGCCCCGAAUGUCCCGGGCUACACGCGAGCUACAAUGGUUGGUACAAUGGGCAUCGACCCCGAAAGGGGAAGGCUAUCUCCUAAACCAUCCUAAGUUCGGAUUGAGGGCUAAACUCGCCCUCAUGAAGCUGAAUCCGUAUUCCGGCAAGGCCGUAGUC